Molecule: unclassified non-coding RNA, 266 nt
Filed under: uncultured Cladophialophora
Lineage: Eukaryota; Fungi; Ascomycota; Eurotiomycetes; Chaetothyriales; Herpotrichiellaceae
Description: sequence contains ITS2
Rfam family: 5.8S ribosomal RNA (bases 1-52)
Source: RNAcentral
AACGCACAUUGCGCCCUUUGGUAUUCCGAAGGGCAUGCCUGUUCGAGCGUCAUUAUCACCCCUCAAGCCCCGUGCUCGGUGUUGGACGGCCGGUCGAGCGAUCGACCCCUCCUAAAGACAAUGACGGCGACCUGUGGUUCCCCCGGUACACUGAGCUUUUAACUGAGCACGUAUCGGACAAGGGCACCCGGGACCCGGUCCUCUCCUUUAACUAGGAAACUUCUAAGGUUGACCUCGGAUCAGGUAGGAAUACGCGCUGAACUUAA